UACGUAGGCAGCGAGCGUUGUUUGGAAUUACUGGGCGUAAAGAGUGUGUAGGCGGUGCUCCCAGUCUGUUGUGAAAUCUCCCGGCUUAACUGGGAGGGUGCAGCGGAAACUAGAGUGCUAGAGGGUGGGAGAGGUAAGCGGAAUUCCUGGUGUAGCGGUGAAAUGCGUAGAUAUCAGGAGGAACACCUGUGGUGUAGACAGCUUACUGGACCACUUCUGACGCUGAGACACGAAAGCGUGGGUAGCAAACAGG
Molecule: ribosomal RNA, 253 nt
Filed under: uncultured bacterium
Lineage: Bacteria
Description: partial 16S ribosomal RNA
Rfam family: Bacterial small subunit ribosomal RNA
Source: RNAcentral